This is a non-coding RNA of Rattus norvegicus (Norway rat), 5674 nucleotides long. Lineage: Eukaryota; Metazoa; Chordata; Mammalia; Rodentia; Muridae. The record is from RefSeq and is a predicted model, not a curated record.
CACAACCCACGGAGAUGAUUGCAGACGCUGUCAUGCCUCCCGCCAGCCCGGUUUCAACGGUCACGAUUCCCUUUCUCUGUCCCGGACGUGAGGGAUUUCAUUUGGAACGAUGACAGAGCAAUACAGGAAGAGGAGCUAGCGUGUUUGAUCGAUGCAAAGUGGUUUCUUCAUGCGUGGCAACGUGGGGCCGUGAAUUGCAUGGCCAGUGUCUUCUUUGCUAGUAACACCAGGCCUGCCAUCCAGUCUGUCUUAGGGGUCUGUAAAGACAGAGGAUAACACGGAGGCUCAGGGGAGCCAUAACAAGAACUACAGAUUUGGAGUCGGCAGGUACCGAGACCCAUCUGCAGUCUCCAGAAAUAACCAACACAAAAAAGAAUAAGCCAUGAAGCCUGGGGUGGGGCGAGCAGGAACAUGCAUCAACCAGCCAAUCAAUCGACCAACCAACCAAUCAAUCAAUUAGCCACUAACCAAUCGAUAGCUACUUACUAGCCAUUCACUGUGUACAAGUAGCUUUAGGAGAAAAUGUGUAUUUGUCAAAAAGCAGGAAGGAGCUGGGAGAUGGCUCAGUUAGUAAAAUGCCUGCUACAUAGGCACGAAGAAUCGAGUUCAGCUCACCAUCCUCCAUCUGCAAUCCCCAUUUGGUGUGGGAGAAAAGGGCGCAGAGGCAGGCGGUUCCUAAGCACUUGAUAGCCAGCCAGUCCAGCCAAUCAGUGAGCUCUAGGCUCACCGAGCCCCUACAUCAAAAUAUAAAGUAGAGUGUGAUUUACGAAGGCAUCCAGUGUCAAACUCUGGCUUCUAACACUCAUGGGCACGCGCGUGAACAGGCACCUAAAUGUAUGUGCACACGUGAUCACGCACACACAUAACGUACACAGUAUCGGAAAAGCCCGACCCCUAGUUUUCGAGUCAGAAAGAGCUCACAUUGUAUCUACCUGUCAGUGCCUCAGUUUCCCCAUCUGCAAUGUGGCAGAGUUAAUACUGUCGACCUCCCAGGAGUGCUGCUAUACCUUGAGUUACUUAAGCCUCCACUCAGCAAAGUACUUGGACUUUUCCCAUGAACAGGAGCCAUGAUCCGUAAUAAGGAGCUAACAAGAUACCAGGUAUUGAAAAAGCAUCAAAUGCAUGCCAAGCCCUGUCCCUGCCCCCUGUGCAUGUCCCCUGUCCCUUGAUUUGUAAGUUGGGUAACAGGCAGACCUAUGUAGAAGUGAGGUCACGGGGCAGGGUGGGCUGAAGGCCGGGAGCUGUGCCUCCAGAGAGCAGGGAGGGUGUGGCCCUGCCAGUCUGCGCAUGUUUCCUACCGGAAGCAGGGUAUGAAUCAGAUCCCACAGGACCUGUAAAAAGAGAAUCAAAUAUGGUGGCUCACACCUACGAUCUGAGCACCUAGAGGGCUGAGGCAGGAGGAUCGCUGUGAGCUUGAGGCUAGCUAAGCUAGAUAGCAAGGCUGUUUCCAAGCAAAACAAAGAAAGAGAGAAAAAUAGAUAUUUGGGCCAGAUGGUGACCUUUUCAGAAAGGUCCUGAGCUUCUGCAGGGCAAAUGAGCUUCUGUAAAAGUGAGAGGUUUUCUAACUCUAAAAGAAAAAAAGGAAAAAGCCCCGAGGGUAAGUACAGAGGAGAAUGAACUUAACUGUGUCCUGAUCAUUUGCAUUUCUUUCAGUGUUGCUCCAAUUUGGGUGUCAUGUUUUAUGCAGGGAAUUUCCUAUAGUGAAUAGUCUCAUAUAUUCAUAUAUAUAUAUAUAAUGUAAUUAAUUUUUGAGUUAGGGUCUCACAAUCUAGUGCCGUCUAAGUUAGAACUCACUAUGUAGAUCAGGCUGGCCCCAAACUUACAGGAAUCCUCCUACCUCUGCCUAGGGAGUGCUGGGAUUACAGGUGUGCACGACCACACCUUGGCCUUAGGUAUUUCCGGCACAUGUGGAAUUAUGCAUACAGUAAGCAUUCAAUGAGUAUUUUGUUGAAUGAAUAUUAAUCAUAUCACCACCACCACCACCACCACCACCACCAUCAUCAUCAUCAUCAUCAUCAUCAUCAUCAUCAUCACUGUCAUCAUCGGGCAGUGUUAGGAACGGAACCCAGGAUGGUUCAUGUGCUAGACAAGCGCGGUGCCCAUUAAACUACACCCUCGGUUGACAAUUUACUUUAUAUUUAUUUCUUUUCUUUUCUUUUUUUUUUUUUCGGAGCUGGGGACCAAACCCAGGGCCUUGCGCUUCCUAGGUAAGCGCUCUACCACUGAGCUAAAUCCCCAGCCCCAUAUUUAUUUCUAUUUUACAUAAACCAUGACGUCUUAAACGGUAUGCUAAAUUUCAUGCUUCCUUCCUGGGACAAGAGGAAUAUGUAUAUCGGAAUAUGUAUAUCGUCAGGCAAAGGCAGACCCCGGGCACAACUGGAAAAAGUGGUUGGAAUGCCCAGUCUCAGUGCUGUUAGGACAAAAGCCACACAAAAGCCUCCAGAACCUGAAUCAGACACAAAGGCUGAAAACUGCUGGGCUGUGUGGUUCUGAACUUGGUCAGCUGAGGGGAGGCGGGUGCAAAGCCUUUCUUUAAGCAAGCUUGCAGUCGGAGGCCUGACACUAGAGGGAACGGGAAUUCACGCCUCGUCUUCUGCUUGGAGCCCUUGAGGUCUCUGCACACUGCCCUUGCCUUGAGAUAAGAAACUGGGCGGUCUCUUGAAGGUUUAUUUUGUUUCUGGAGCUGCCAGAUCCAGUGGGUGGAUUGUGUCUUGAAAUAGAAGCAUCUUAAAAGGCCUGUGAAUCAUUCCUCUGAGCUGGUUUGCCUGAGAGGUUUCAUAUCCUGUUCUCAGAUAUACCUUGAGCAAUGGGUGUGAGAUGUAUGUGGUGUGUGUGUGUGUGUGUGUGGUAUGUAUGUGAUAUGUGUGUAAUGUGUGUGUAGAUGUGAUAUGUGUGUGUGGUGUGGCAUGUGUAUAUGUGGUAUGUUGUGUGUGUCUGUCUGUGUGUGUCUGUGGAAUGUGUGUGUGUGUGUGGUUUGUGUGUGUAUAUGUGGUGUGUGUGUGUGGUGUGUGUGUGUAUAUGUGGUGUGUGUGUGUGUGUGGUGUGUAUGUGGUGUGUGUGGUGUGUAUGUAUAUGUGAUAUGUGUGUGUGGUGUGGCAUAUGUGUGUAUCUAUGUGUAUGUGGUGUGACGUGUGUGUGUGUGUGUAUGUGUGUGUGUAGUGUGUGGGAGUGUGUCUGGGUGUGUUGUUUUCAGGCCUAUUUGCUUAGGAUUUGAUUUUGAAACUUUUACUUUCUUUUAAUAGCUUUUUUUUCAAGCUGGAAGAAGUUUUCAAAUGUUUUUUUCGAGAAAGUUCAAACCCUCUUAGAAUGACUAAGGCCCUGGGAGGAAUUUGGACUUUGUGAGGGGAAUUUGUAUCCUCGGUGAAUCAUCCAGUUACUGAGUUCAGCAGAGAGAAGGCCUUUUGAAAGGCUUCUAGGUUAACCCCUCAUUGUGCAAAUGGGGAAACUGAGGCCUGGGGAGGGAAAGGAGUUCUGCAGAGGUCCCUUGGCCUGUCAGUGGCAGGGGCAGUGCAGGCAUGAGUCUAACUCCCAGGGAAGCUUGGGUUGCAGGGAGCUCAUGGGAAUCCUCUAUCUGUUUGGUGGGCACAUUUUUAAAAUCAGAGGCAGAGGAGCACAGACUUCAAGGGGUUGGUGGAGAGGGACAGCACAGGACACAUGCAGCUAUGGCAUCCACGUUGUCAGUUAACUCCCUGGGAUCCUGUUAGGCAGUGAUUUCAAAAGGGGGACAUUUGACAAAAUCAGAGGUAUUUUGGUUUGUCACAGCUUGGAUGGGGGUUGCUACUGGCAUCUAAUAGAGGUGGAAGCGAGGAUGCCUUUAAACCCCCUAACACACACAAUAGACACAGCUGAGUUGUCCGCUCCAAAUGUCCAUAGUGUUGGGGCUGGGGAGAGGUCUGUGUGGCAGAACUUACCCUCACAGUGCCUCGGCUUCCUUUUGUAUAAAGGUUGUAACAUGAUACUCAUUAUAAGAUUAAAUAAAUGAAUGUAUAUAGCUCACUUAGAACACUGCCCUGAAUAUAGUAAAUAUUGAAUGAAUCAUUUAAAAUAACACACACACACACACACACACAGAAAGAGAAGCAGGGAGCCUGGCAGUGGUGGCUCACGCCUUUAAUCCCAGCCCUAAGUAGGCAAAGGCAGGGUCUCUGUGGGUUGGAGGCUAGCCUGGUCUAACAGAAUGAGUCCCAGUACAGCCAGGGCUACAUGGAGAAACCCUGUCUCAAAAAACCAACCAAACAAACAAAUACCCGAAAAAGUAUCAGGUGCACACAUGUAAUCCCGGCACUCAAGAGGCAGAGGCAGCAGGGUCUCCAAAAAUCUGAAGCCAGCCUGGGCUACACUGUAAGAUUCAACCCAGCCUGGGCUACAGAGAAGACCCUGCCCCAAAGAAAACACACAAAGAUGACUAACACCAAUAAUGAGACCCAGCUUGUGCUGAUUCACAGAAGAUAAAUGGAAGAAUUAUAGUUAAAGCCUGUGUUCCCUUUAUUGUGUGUGUAGGGGGUGGGGGGAUGGAUAUUGUCAUUUUAAGGGUACAAUAGAUAAAGGACUGGAGAUCUGCUGGGUGGUGGGGCCCUGUCAGAAAUGGAGGCACAUUCAAGUAGCAUCCUAGGCCCCCCUAAGUUUUGCCUUUUCAGAUAGACUGCCUUAAAUUUCACUUCAUGUUUUAUGAUAAGGUGAUUCGAACUUCCUCAGCAGUUCAACUCAGGUCUUUUAUAAUAGCUCACGAUGAACUCAGUCCCCUCCUGACACAUAGCAAUAAUGAGAUCAGAAGUAGACUCCUGAGGGCAAAUAUAGCUGGUGUUCAGAAACAGGCAAAAGGCAACGCAGAUAGGCACGUGGCUGCCAGACCAUCUGUCCUAGUUAGGGUCACUGUCGCUGUGAGGAAACACCAUGACAAAAAAGCAACAUGGGGAGGAAAGGGUUUAUUUGGCUUACACUGUCACAUCACUGUUCAUCAUUGGAGGAAGUCAGGAUAGGAAGGCAGGACAGGAACCUAGAGGCAGGAGCUGAUGCAGAGACCAUGGAGGGAUACUGCUUACUGGCUUGCUCCCUGUGGCUUGCUCAGCUUACUUUCUUAUAGACUAGCCCAGGAAUGGCAUCACCCACAGUGGGCUGGGCCCUCCUCCAUCAAUCACUAAUUAAGAAAAUGCCCUACAGACUUGCCUACAGCCUGAUCUUAUGGAGACAUUCUCUUAAGUGAGGUUCACUCCUCUCGGAUGACUUUAACUUGUGUCAAGUUGACACAAAAUUACCCAGCUCAACACCAGUCAUUCCCUCAGAAAGAUGGCAAGGCCUGAAAGAGGCCUUCAGUCUGGGAGGAUGGCCCUGGGGCCUUGCACACCCCUCAGGGCCCGCAUCUGAUCUUCCUAUCUUGAGCCUUGAUGCCCUUUUACCCAGUCUGGGAAUGUUCCACGCUGUCCACUUUAACCCUCUAAUCUUAUUCUCAGCCAGAGGUGAAAUUCCUGCACUGGCCACUGAUGGCCCAGCUUACUGGAACAUUCCUCUGUGCAGCCCCAGGCCUCAUAUCCCUAGAACAGUUUCUCAGCAUGCCUCUGCUUUGCCUGGGACCCCCUUUCCAACUUUUCAUUGAAAUAUUGGAGGGUUAAGUGGUUAAAGCAUUUGCUACAUAAGCGUGAGGACCAGAUUUCAGAUCCCUAGAACCUGGGUAAAG